Molecule: transfer RNA, 71 nt
Filed under: Marmota monax (woodchuck)
Lineage: Eukaryota; Metazoa; Chordata; Mammalia; Rodentia; Sciuridae
Description: tRNA.Ala
Source: RNAcentral
GAGGUUGUGGCUUAGUGGUUGAGUGUUUGCCUAGCAUGUAUGAGGCACUGGGUUCGAUUCUCAGCACCACA